GAUCCCGUAGCUCAGUCGGUAGAGCGUCUGACUUUUAAUCAGCAGGUCGCGCGUUCAAUUCGCGCCGGGAUCA
Transfer RNA from Ehrlichia chaffeensis str. Arkansas, 73 nucleotides. It matches the Rfam family "tRNA". From Rfam's summary of the family: Transfer RNA (tRNA) molecules are approximately 80 nucleotides in length. Their secondary structure includes four short double-helical elements and three loops (D, anti-codon, and T loops). Further hydrogen bonds mediate the characteristic L-shaped molecular structure. tRNAs have two regions of fundamental functional importance: the anti-codon, which is responsible for specific mRNA codon recognition, and the 3' end, to which the tRNAs corresponding amino acid is attached (by aminoacyl-tRNA synthetases). tRNAs cope with the degeneracy of the genetic code in two manners: having more than one tRNA (with a specific anti-codon) for a particular amino acid; and 'wobble' base-pairing, i.e. permitting non-standard base-pairing at the 3rd anti-codon position. The record is from Rfam. Lineage: Bacteria; Pseudomonadati; Pseudomonadota; Alphaproteobacteria; Rickettsiales; Anaplasmataceae.